CAGUCGCCGCGGUAAUACGUAGGGUGCGGGCGUUAAUCGGAAUUACUGGGCGUAAAGCGUGCGCAGGCGGUUAUAUAAGACAGAUGUGAAAUCCCCGGGCUCAACCUGGGACCUGCAUUUGUGACUGGCAAGCUAGAGUAUGGCAGAGGGGGGUGGAAUUCCGCGUGUAGCAGUGAAAUGCGUAGAUAUGCGGAGGAACACCGAUGGCGAAGGCAGCCCCCUGGGCCAAUACUGACGCUCAUGCACGAAAGCGUGGGGAGCAAACAGGAUUAGAUACCCCCGUAGUCCCUGUCUCUUAUAC
Molecule: ribosomal RNA, 301 nt
Filed under: uncultured bacterium
Lineage: Bacteria
Description: partial 16S ribosomal RNA
Rfam family: Bacterial small subunit ribosomal RNA
Source: RNAcentral